Molecule: Y RNA, 94 nt
Filed under: Catagonus wagneri (Chacoan peccary)
Lineage: Eukaryota; Metazoa; Chordata; Mammalia; Artiodactyla; Tayassuidae
Description: Y RNA (ENSCWAG00000019256.1)
Rfam family: Y RNA
About the family: Y RNAs are components of the Ro ribonucleoprotein particle (Ro RNP), in association with Ro60 and La proteins. The Y RNAs and Ro60 and La proteins are well conserved, but the function of the Ro RNP is not known.
Source: Rfam by way of RNAcentral
GGCUGGUCCAAGUGCAAUGGAGCUUAUAAUUAAUUGAUCACUGACAGUUACAGAUUUGUUUCUUCUCCAUUCCCACUGCUUCACUUGACUUUAA